UUAAAUUUUUAAAUUGUAAAUCACACCAAGUAUCCUAAGUUAAGAACAGCAGAGUUUUUUAUAUCAAUUGUGGAAAAGAGAAAAUUCUGUCUGAGUUAAUCAUAAAUUGUAGCUGAGGUUACAUUGAACCUCCCCAAAAAACUUAACAUAGCUAUGCAGUUAGUGAGCUACUGCAAAUAGCCAUGGACCCGCACACUUCAACUGAAGAAAUCAUAUAUGUUUUCUACAGAGCUCACAGAGUGUACAAUGCCUGCCCAAGGGUCUCGUUUGUCUUUUUAUUUACACAGAAACAAAACAUUUGAUACAUUUGGAGACAUGCGGCCACAGAACUACUGAUUGUUCAUCAAUAUCUGCUGGAACUGGGUGGAGGAGCAUAAAUUCUCGACCAUGAUGAACAUCUCUGACAGCCUACAAGCACAAGCAUGCAGGUGAUUUCUGCAAGUUAUCCUGAAGCAAAAACAUCCAAAGGCAAACAACCACACAGGAGUGUUGCCGCCAAGCCCAGAGCAAGAUAAAGAUGAAGCAAUCCCAGCA
Long non-coding RNA from Megalops cyprinoides (Indo-Pacific tarpon), 534 nucleotides. RefSeq lists it as uncharacterized. The transcript is spliced from 3 exons. Lineage: Eukaryota; Metazoa; Chordata; Actinopteri; Elopiformes; Megalopidae. The record is from RefSeq and is a predicted model, not a curated record.